Nelumbo nucifera (sacred lotus) is the source of this 198-nucleotide non-coding RNA. Lineage: Eukaryota; Viridiplantae; Streptophyta; Magnoliopsida; Proteales; Nelumbonaceae. The record is from RefSeq and is a predicted model, not a curated record.
AAUUAAACUAAAAUUAAUGGUACCCAGGUAGUGGAUGAAUACCAGAAGAACUUUGGAGAAUCUUGGAGGACUGUACAGUCAGAUUCCACCCAACCAUGGCCCUAUUUGAAUGAAGCUCUAACCAAAUUUCAGGACCCUGCAGAAGCUGAUAAAUUGCUGAAAAUCCAGAGGGAGUUGGAUGAAACUAAGAUCAUUCUU